UACAGAGGUCUCAAGCGUUGUUCGGAUUCAUUGGGCGUAAAGGGUGCGUAGGUGGCGCGGUAAGUCGGGUGUGAAAUCUCGGAGCUUAACUCCGAAAUUGCAUUCGAUACUGCCGUGCUCGAGGACUGGAGAGGAGACUGGAAUUCAUGGUGUAGCAGUGAAAUGCGUAGAGAUCAUGUGGAAGACCAGUGGCGAAGGCGGGUCUCUGGACAGUUCCUGACACUGAGGCACGAAGGCCAGGGGAGCAAACGGG
This 253-nucleotide ribosomal RNA is filed under the name uncultured bacterium. Its description in RNAcentral is "partial 16S ribosomal RNA". It matches the Rfam family "Bacterial small subunit ribosomal RNA", at positions 524 to 776 of the family's 1533-position model. The record is from RNAcentral.